UUGACAUUUACCUAGGCACAGCUCACAGGCAUGAUAAUGACUCUCAUAUGUGGACCCCACAAGUAGGAGUAAUUUUGACUCUUGUAACUUGCUUUAGAAACAUAAGUGAUGUCUUAGAUCUCUUUCUGGCGAAAAGGUCACAGAAGAUUAUAACAGCCUCAGAUAAUUUGCAGCCCUUGGCUUGUACAGAGAGUGUCAGAACAGAACCCAGCAGAAAGGAGAAAUUGUGAGUCUCAUAUGUACACCCAGCUGACUGUAAGGACUGUCACCAUCUUACAUACAUGAAGCCAACUGUCACACAUGAAAAGAGGACAUGUGUGGUAUUGUAAAUCUCAUCUCGAAUAUUCUCUCAGUGUGACUGUGAUAUAAAUCUUUGCCAAGCAUCUGUGUGAUUUGACUCUCCAAACUGGUUCCAGCCCAUAUAUACGGGAUUGUGAUCUCUACCUGGGCCAACCUCUAGAUAAUGUGACUCUCCUGCCUGGGCCCUUCUCUCAGUAAGGGUUGUGACAUAUCACUGGAUCUAACACCCAAGUGAUGUUACAUUCUUGCCUGGACCAUGCACAGAGACAUCAUUGUGACAUAUCACUGUGUCCACCACUUAGGUGAUGUAACUCUCCUCUCUGGAAUGGACCCUGAAUACGGAGUGGUAGUGACAUCUUCCUAGGCCAGACACACAGGUGUUGGUACUCUUUUUCCAGGGCUAUGUUUCAAGGAGGGCAUUGUGACAUAUCUCUGGACCUAUCACCGAGGUGAUAUGAUUCAACGCUUGGGCCUCACCGACGUAGAACAUUGUGACAUAAAAGUUAAACCUGCACCAAAGGUGUUGUAACUCUUUCACCUUGGUCCUGUCCUAAGGGAGCCCUGCAACAUAUCUCAGGACCCAGCACUCAGGAACAUUGUGACAUCGUUGGACAUAGCAUCUAGGAAAUGUGACUCUUCUCUCCUGCCUAGGUCCUGCCCACUAAAGGAAUUGUGACAUACCACUGAGUGCAAAACCUAGCCCUGUCUACAGUGGACAUGGUACCACAUGACUUGAGGCUGUAUCCAGGUGAUGUGACUCUUCUGACUUGGCCCUGCCUGCAAAGGAAAUUAUAAUAUAUCCUGAGCUCAGAAUCCAGGCGAUGAGACUCUCCUGCCUCUUUUCUGCCCACAAGUGAAAUUGUGACUUAUACCUGCGUUCAGCUCACAUGCACAAAUAUAACUAUUAUACCUGGACCCAGAAAGGAGAGAUAUUUGGACUCUUAUAGCCAGUCCUAUGGCCAUAAGUAAAGUAAAGGGUCCCCUGUUUGUAUAAAGCUCACAGAGGAUUAUGACACUCAGGCACAUCAUAUAAAGCCUGAGUGGUACAAAGAGUGUCAUAGCAGGGAACAGCAACCAGGUGCGAUUGUGACUCUUGGAUGCUCACCCAGCUGACCCGAUUGUCAUUCUCUCACAAGAACAGGGCCUACAUACAAGGCCAUGACCAUAGAUGAAAUUUUGACAUACGUGGACCAUACACCUAAGCGAAGGUGCCUGGGCCUGCCUACAAAGGGCACUUUUACGUAUUACUAGGACCAGCACGCAGAGCUGAUGGAGCAUCCAGAUGGAACAUAAACAGUGGACUUUUCUCACUCACUGAUAUCUGAGGACCCAGCACCAUCCCCCAAAAGAAUGUUUUAUAUCCCCACCUGCCCAGACUGAUCUGUCAACACAGGGAAUACUGUCAAUAUUUCAGAGUAUA
Molecule: long non-coding RNA, 1720 nt
Filed under: Homo sapiens (human)
Lineage: Eukaryota; Metazoa; Chordata; Mammalia; Primates; Hominidae
Description: HSALNT0340947
Source: RNAcentral